GUAACACGGUGGGACCAACCUCGCCUAGUAAGACGUAGGGAAUAACAUCGAAGAAGUCGGUGCUAAUACCGGAUAAUAAAAAGAACUGCAUGGUUCUUUUUUGAAAGAUGGUUUCGGCUAUCACUUACAGAUGGGCCCGCGGCGCAUUAGCUAGUUGGUGAGGUAACGGCUCACCAAGGCAACGAUGCGUAGCCGACCUGAGAGGGUGAUCGGCCACACUGGGACUGAGACACGGCCCAGACUCCUACGGGAGGCAGCAGUAGGGAAUCUUCCGCAAUGGACGAAAGUCUGACGGAGCAACGCCGCGUGAGUGAUGAAGGUUUUCGGAUCGUAAAACUCUGUUGUUAGGGAAGAACAAGUGCCGUUCGAAAGGGCGGCACCUUGACGGUACCUAACGAGAAAGCCACGGCUAACUACGUG
This 420-nucleotide ribosomal RNA is filed under the name uncultured bacterium. RNAcentral's name for it is "bacterial SSU rRNA". It matches the Rfam family "Bacterial small subunit ribosomal RNA", at positions 110 to 507 of the family's 1533-position model. The record is from RNAcentral.